Nerophis lumbriciformis (worm pipefish) is the source of this 777-nucleotide long non-coding RNA. RefSeq lists it as uncharacterized. Lineage: Eukaryota; Metazoa; Chordata; Actinopteri; Syngnathiformes; Syngnathidae. The record is from RefSeq and is a predicted model, not a curated record.
CUUUGUAGAGUAAACUUUAAGAACUCAGCCAACACGCCUCGUCUGCAUCUUUUAUGAUUAGACAAGACAACACAUAUAUUUUCAAGGCCAUUUUCAAGAAGGAUAUGUAAAGAGAAACUACAUCUUGUGAGACCAUGUCGGCCAACCCCGGAAGCUCGAAUGGGUGCUACAGAUUGAAGCUGCGACGUGCUGGACUGGCUCCUACAGAUGUGUUGUGAAGGGCACCCUCAGCAUCGCAGUGUGGCGUAAAAGCCGCCCAGAUGACGGCCGUAGACUUUGGAGCAUCCAGAGUAGGACCACUCGACUGAAGAACAGCUUCUUUCCGGAAGCUGCUAGACUGCUGAAUUCCGAUGGUGCUCUGUAGCAAUAGAGUUGUGUGAAAACAGAGCAGUUGUCUGAAAAAAGAAGAUGAUUAUGAAUUGCAAGCUUCAAGCUGAAUUUUGAUGUGAAUAAUGUUUGUAAGAUCUCAAAUAGCUCAUUUAAUUUUGUAUCUGUGUGUAAUUAUGUGGACUACAUUGUCACCUGCCUUUGUUAUGACCUGUCAGCUCAUAUUCUGUAUUAUAUAUUUGUUAUUAUUUCUCCUUUGUCGACUGUUCAUUUCUGUUCCAGCGCUCCCUUAGUUGCCAUGGACACUGAUCUUCUGCACCUUGCUCUGAUUAGUGGUCGGGAUGCUCACCUGCUCCUGAUCCCUAAUCAGAGAGCUAUUUUUACCUGCCUCGCGGUCCACUCAGCCUGACAGUCUUGUUCACUAUAUGCGACUGUUUAUGUUUGCUUUGU